Molecule: ribosomal RNA, 115 nt
Filed under: Pogona vitticeps (central bearded dragon)
Lineage: Eukaryota; Metazoa; Chordata; Lepidosauria; Squamata; Agamidae
Source: RNAcentral
GCAAGGGGACCACCUUGAACAUACUGAUCUCAUCUGAUUUUGGAAGCUCUGCAGGGUCAGGCCUGGCGAAUAAUUGGAUGGGAGAGCAGCUGAAAACACUAGGUAUCUCCUUGUA